GUGGAUUAGAUACCCUGGUAGUCCACACCGUAAACGUUGGGCGCUAGGUGUGGGACACAUUCCACGUGUUCCGUGCCGCAGCUAACGCAUUAAGCGCCCCGCCUGGGGAGUACGGCCGCAAGGCUAAAACUCAAAGGAAUUGACGGGGGCCCGCACAAGCGGCGGAGCAUGCGGAUUAAUUCGAUGCAACGCGAAGAACCUUACCUGGGUUUGACAUACACCGGAAAGCUCUAGAGAUAGAGCCCCUUUUAGUCGGUGUACAGGUGGUGCACGGCCGUCGUCAACU
RNAcentral lists this ribosomal RNA (286 nucleotides) under uncultured bacterium. RNAcentral's name for it is "partial 16S ribosomal RNA". It matches the Rfam family "Bacterial small subunit ribosomal RNA", at positions 773 to 1060 of the family's 1533-position model. The record is from RNAcentral.